ACAUCUCAACUCUCAUGGCUUGCCGUGAUGAGCUUGGACUUUGGGGGUCUUGCUGGCCUGUGGUCAGCUCCUCUCAAAUGAAUUAGCCUGCCGGUGUUUGGUGGGAUCACAGGUGUGAUAACUAUCUACGCUUGUGGUUUUCCACCAAACACCGGCAAUGGAGGUUCACCGGAGCUUACAAAUGUCUCUCCCCAGCGAGGACAGAUUUUGACC
Molecule: unclassified non-coding RNA, 213 nt
Filed under: uncultured Tomentella
Lineage: Eukaryota; Fungi; Basidiomycota; Agaricomycetes; Thelephorales; Thelephoraceae
Description: sequence contains ITS2
Source: RNAcentral